GACGAACGCUGGCGGCGUGCUUAACACAUGCAAGUCGAACGGAAAGGCCCGGCUUUUGUGGGGUGCUCGAGUGGCGAACGGGUGAGUAACACGUGAGUAACCUGCCCUUGACUUUGGGAUAACGUCAGGAAACUGGGGCUAAUACCGGAUAGGAGCUCCUGCUGCAUGGGGGGGGUUGGAAAGUUUCGGCGGUUGGGGAUGGACUCGCGGCUUAUCAGCUUGUUGGUGGGGUAGUGGCUUACCAAGGCUUUGACGGGUAGCCGGCCUGAGAGGGUGACCGGCCACAUUGGGACUGAGAUACGGCCCAGACUCCUACGGGAGGCAGCAGUGGGGAAUAUUGCACAAUGGGCGGAAGCCUGCUGCAGCAACGCCGCGUGCGGGAUGACGGCCUUCGGGUUGUAAACCGCUUUCGCCUGUGACGAAGCGUGAGUGACGGUAAUGGGUAAAGAAGCACCGGCUAACUACGUG
RNAcentral lists this ribosomal RNA (468 nucleotides) under uncultured bacterium. Its description in RNAcentral is "partial 16S ribosomal RNA". It matches the Rfam family "Bacterial small subunit ribosomal RNA", at positions 28 to 507 of the family's 1533-position model. The record is from RNAcentral.